AAUCAACGCUGGCGGCGUGCCUCAGACAUGCAAGUCGAACGCGAAAGGCUCCUUCGGGGGCCGAGUAGAGUGGCGCACGGGUGAGUAACACGUAGGUAAUCUGCCUUUGGGUGGGGAAUAACUCAGGGAAACUUGAGCUAAUACCGCAUAAUGCAGCGGCUCGACAUCGAGACAGUUGUUAAAGCGGGGGAUCGCAAGACCUCGCGCCUGAAGAGAAGCCUGCGGCAGAUUAGCUAGUUGGUAGGGUAAUGGCCUACCAAGGCGACGAUCUGUAACCGGCCUGAGAGGGCGGUCGGUCACACUGACACUGACAUACGGGUCAGACUCC
This 328-nucleotide ribosomal RNA is filed under the name uncultured bacterium. Its description in RNAcentral is "bacterial SSU rRNA". It matches the Rfam family "Bacterial small subunit ribosomal RNA", at positions 32 to 339 of the family's 1533-position model. The record is from RNAcentral.